AUACGUAGGGUGCAAGCGUUAAUCGGAAUUACUGGGCGUAAAGCGUGCGCAGGCGGUUUUGUAAGACAGAGGUGAAAUCCCCGGGCUCAACCUGGGAACUGCCUUUGUGACUGCAAGGCUAGAGUACGGCAGAGGGGGAUGGAAUUCCGCGUGUAGCAGUGAAAUGCGUAGAUAUGCGGAGGAACACCGAUGGUGAAGGCAUUCCCCUGUGCCUGUUCGGACGCUCAUGUACGAAAGCGCGGGGAGCAACCAGGAUUAGAUACCCUGCUAGCCCUCGCCCUAGACGAUGUCAACUGGUUGUUGGGUCUUCAUUGUGUCAGUGACGUAGCUAACGCGUUAAGUUGAACGCCUGGGGAGUACGGCCGCAAGGUUGAAACUCAAAUGAAUUGACGGGG
RNAcentral lists this ribosomal RNA (395 nucleotides) under uncultured bacterium. RNAcentral describes it as "partial 16S ribosomal RNA". It matches the Rfam family "Bacterial small subunit ribosomal RNA", at positions 523 to 918 of the family's 1533-position model. The record is from RNAcentral.